RNAcentral lists this ribosomal RNA (588 nucleotides) under uncultured bacterium. RNAcentral describes it as "bacterial SSU rRNA". It matches the Rfam family "Bacterial small subunit ribosomal RNA", at positions 250 to 852 of the family's 1533-position model. The record is from RNAcentral.
UGGCGGGGUAAGGGCCCACCAAGGCGACGAUCAGUAGCCGGACUGAGAGGUUGAACGGCCACAUUGGGACUGAGAUACGGCCCAGACUCCUACGGGAGGCAGCAGUGGGGAAUAUUGGGCAAUGGGGGAAACCCUGACCCAGCAACGCCGCGUGAAGGAAGAAGGCCUUCGGGUUGUAAACUUCUUUUACCAGGGACGAAGGACGUGACGGUACCUGGAGAAAAAGCCACGGCUAACUACGUGCCAGCAGCCGCGGUAAUACGUAGGUGGCAAGCGUUGUCCGGAAUUACUGGGUGUAAAGGGCGUGUAGGCGGAGCUGCAAGUCAGAUGUGAAAUCUCCGGGCUUAACCCGGAAACUGCAUUUGAAACUGUAGCCCUUGAGUAUCGGAGAGGCAAGCGGAAUUCCUAGUGUAGCGGUGAAAUGCGUAGAUAUUAGGAGGAACACCAGUGGCGAAGGCGGCUUGCUGGACGACAACUGACGCUGAGGCGCGAAAGCGUGGGGAGCAAACAGGAUUAGAUACCCUGGUAGUCCACGCUGUAAACGAUGAAUACUAGGUGUGGGGGGACUGACCCCCUCCGUGCCGCAGU